AUUGAACGCUGGCGGCAUGCUUUACACAUGCAAGUCGAACGGCAGCGCGGGGGCAACCCUGGCGGCGAGUGGCGAACGGGUGAGUAAUGUAUCGGAACGUACCCAGUCGUGGGGGAUAACGUAGCGAAAGCUACGCUAAUACCGCAUACGAUCUAUGGAUGAAAGCGGGAGACCGUAAGGCCUCGUGCGAUUGGAGUGGCCGAUAUCAGAUUAGGUAGUUGGUGGGGUAAAGGCCCACCAAGCCGACGAUCUGUAGCUGGUCUGAGAGGACGACCAGCCACACUGGGACUGAGACACGGCCCAGACUCCUACGGGAGGCAGCAGUGGGGAAUUUUGGACAAUGGGCGCAAGCCUGAGCCAGCAAUGCCGCGUGCAGGAUGAAGGCCUUCGGGUUGUAAACUGCUUUUGUACGGAGCGAAAAGGCUCUCUCUAAUACAGGGGGCUCAUGACGGUACCGUAAGAAUAAGCACCGGCUAACUACGUGCCAGCCGCCGCGGUAA
RNAcentral lists this ribosomal RNA (500 nucleotides) under uncultured bacterium. RNAcentral describes it as "partial 16S ribosomal RNA". It matches the Rfam family "Bacterial small subunit ribosomal RNA", at positions 29 to 523 of the family's 1533-position model. The record is from RNAcentral.